GAACUCUUCCAUGAGCAUCGACCAACUGCGCAUCGAUCACGUUAUCCGCCGAGAGACCAUAUUUUCGGAACAAUGAACCAUCGCCUCCACCGCUAAUGGACCCACCAAUUCCUACAGUGCGGAAAACAGGUGCUGGGAAGGAAAGGUUCGUGCUUCGUUCAUUGAUUAUGUAGUAUACUUCACCCACGGUUGCACCUAAUUGAACCCACGCCUCUUCGUUUUCGACAUCAACAUCGACUGAUCGCAAAUUAACCAAAUCGAUAACAACAAAUGGGACAUGGGAGACAUAGGAAAGACCUUCGAAGUCAUGACCACCACUUCGAGUUCUAAUUUCUAGGCCAUGCUUUUUGGAGCAAUGAAUCGUUGCUUGAACAUGGGAAAUGUUCAAUGGUGUUAUAAUAACCAAUGGUUUGGGGGUAUUAGGCGUAGAGAACCUCUGAUUCCUAAUGGAAGAAUCCAAAAGUGCUGAAUAUGAAGAGUUCGUUUCAGUGUAGAUAACUUGAGUAAUGGAAGAGGAUUCCUUGGGAUGAUAUGAAUAAAGGCAUUCAAAAAAAUCAUCGUGGCUAUUAGCUGAAGCACUCACCCAUAACAAUGAGCAAGCAACAAUGAAAAGCAAUGACAGAGAACGGUGAAGGGACUUCAUGUUUAUGGAAGUGAUGAAUUUGUGAAGAUUUCAGCAAGAUAUUCCCCUUAUUUAUAGAGGCAAUGCUUUGAGCCGCCGUGUGAACAAAAGUUCAAGAAACCCAGGUAUUUGAAGUCAAUUCAUAUAUAAUAAUGGCACAGGCUGCUCAAAACUUUCGUAUUUAUGUUUUCUUUUUAUAUUGAUAAUAAUAUAACAUUAACUAAAUUAGGACCCAAUCAAUUCUUUGCUUUUUUAAUUUAGAAACUACCACUUAAAAUAAUAUUUGAAUUUAAAUUUUAAAAUUAUUAUUCAUUGUGGAUUCGAAGCGGUCAACAAGAUAUUCCCCUUAUUUAUAGAGUCAAUGCUUUGAGCCGCCAUGUGAACCAAAGUUCAAGAAACCCAGGUAUUUGAAGUCAAUUCAUAUAUAAUGAUGGUACAUGCUGCUCAUUUCCUUGUCUAAUUAAAUUGGGUUUUUUAAUCACUCAAAAUUUUUCCAAAACAAUGGUAAAAAAAAUAAAUUUCUCUAUAACUGGUGUCGUAGCUUGUGAACCAAACACAAUAUCUCAUCCCUAUUCUUAAAUACUCAACACUUUCGUAUUUAUGUUUUUUUUUAUAUUGAUAAUAAUAUCAAUAUUAAUUAAAUUAGGACUGAAUCAAUUCCUUUUUUUUAUUUAGAAACUACCAUUUGAAAUAAUAUUUGAAUUUAAAUUUUAAAAUUAUUAUCCAUUGUGGAUUCGAAGCGAAUGCAGAUAGAUACCUUAAAUAAUAAAUAUUCAUUAUUCGAAUCCACAUUACUUAUGCUUAUAAUUUUGAUUUUAUAUAGAUAAAUAAUUUUAGGGUGUUCAAUUUUAAUUUUUUUAUGGAUUCAGAUAUUCAAAAAAUAUUGAAUUUUUUUAGAUUAUAAAUUUGAAUAUUAAUACUCAUAUAAUAUUAAAACAUAUUUACGAAAUCGAAAUUUAUUAAUUUUUUUUUUUGGUGAAAAGAAAAAAUCCUAAGAUUCUUUUACAAAAGCUAACAUUCUCUUAGUGAAUGUUUAAACUAUUCCUUGGAAAAUAAUAUGAAGUCUUACUCCUAGAUGAUUCACUACUACUAACUUUGUUGUACUGCUUUGCCCAGCUUGUUGAGGCUUUAAUAACUUCCAUAGAACUCUAUGAGAGUCCUUGGGAGACAAAAAGGUUUCUGUUUUUCCAUAAUUGCCAUAUUAGGAUUCCGAAAAGUGUGGGCCAAAGGACUUUGUUGCUUGUUAGUUGACCAUAAGUUCCUAAAUUUGUCUUAAUUGUAACACCCCAUACCCAGCCUAAGAGUUAGGCCCAAAUCUAGCAUGUCACAUUGAAGUAUUUUUCGAAAACCAUGUUUUCAUUAAAAACCCUUCUUGAAAUCAGUACACAGUAAUCAGUAACUGUAAUAUGAUCGACACAAAGCCAUCGGUAAUGGUAAUAUGAUCGACACAAAGCCAUCAAUAAUGGUAAUAUGAUUGGCACAAAGCCAUCAGUAGUAUCACAGUAAAGCUACCAGUAAUAGUAUAUGUGGCCAAGCCACCAGUAAUAGUGAUUGUGGCAGAGCCACCAAUAUAGUACUUCCUCCAUAACAGUAUUCCAACCCCAUGCAGUAUGUCGUGUAUGCAGAAUGCCAUACUCAAAAUCAGUCAUACCAAACACAGACAAAGCAAUCAUUUACAUCAAGGACAAAUCAAUCAUUUAUAUCACAGACAAUUCAAACAUUAACCUCGAGGGGUAAAAUAGUCAUUUUACUCUUUGAGGGUAUAUCAGUCAAUUCACCUAGUAGAGGCAUUACAGUCACUUUACCCUACAGAGGUAUUACAAUUAUUUACCGUAUGGGGGUAUAUCGAUCAAUUCACCUAACAGAAGUAUUACAGUCAUUUUACCCUAUAGAGCAUUAUGGUCAUUUUAUCCUACAGGGGUAUUACGAUCAUUUUACCCUAUAAGGGUAUUAUGGUCAUUUUACCCUAUGGGGGUAUAUCGAUCAAUUCACCUAACUAAAGUAUUAUGGUCAUUUCACUCUAUAAAGGCAUUACGGUCAUUUUACCCUACAGGGACAUUACGGUCAUUUUACAAACAUUAGGGUCUCGAUACUUAUUAUAAUCUUCUAAAAGGUCUAUCAUCACUUCGAGCAACUCAGAUAACCUACACGGCUAGAAUAGUGUAAUUUGGCCCAAAACCCGCUAUUAGGCCUAAAUAGGCCCACACGCUCGUGUGGCCCAUUUAGUCUAGAUUCACAUACGAUAUCGCGAGCCUUAUAAACCAACCUAUCAAUGAUCCCUUACCAUGGAUUUUAGCCCAUUGGGCCUACGCGACCCAUUUCGACUCAUCGAGGCCCAUAACGGCCCCAGCUAUGCAAACGUCACAGUCUAAACAAUACUUACCACAUCACAUACAUUUUAUCUGUGUGACCCACUGGGUCCACAUAGCCCAUUUCGGCCAAAUAAGGCCUAGAACAGCCCAAAACCACACGAGCACUCGUGGUGGCCUCUACAAACUAACGCUCCUAUUUGCGGGCUUGGUUCACCACACGCAUGAUCGAACAUUCGUGUGGCAUCAUACAUCAUAUUUCUAGCUUUUUGGCAUUUGUCGAAUUACAGAAGAGACAGUGUGAUUACACACACUUUCAGCUUUAUGACAGUAAUGAUUUAUAGUGUACAAUUACACAUACCUGAAUACGAACUCUUGCGAACAGCCUACGAGCACUAUUAAAACAAAGUAUUUAUCAAUCGCUUGACAAUAGGAUCUCAACCUUCCUUGAUUGUUAUCUGCAUAUAAAUCGAAUUUAGUAAUCAAUAUUGUUUAUGCAUAUGGGUUGAAUCUAUGGUUAUUAGCCUAAAGAAAACACAAACCCCAAAUAAGAGAAAAGCAUAUUCGGCCAAUACCAAACCACAACAACAUAUUCCAGUUCAGAUUAUUCACUACGAGUAGUAUUACCUUUGAUCAAGAAUGAAAGAGAAGGGUCCAAUCUUUUCUAUAGUGCUAGGAAAUUCUUUCACUCUUCACGAAUUCCUUAAAUCCGAAAGAACACCAUAAAAAAGUAAAAAAAAAGAUAAGAAUCGAAAUCUAAGGAAAUAGAAGAGAAAACCUGAAAGAGUAGAGAUAUAAGGACCUACCAAUCGAUAUUCUGCCAAUGGAAACUAUUUGAGUGACAGGGAAGAGAAGUUAGAAUCCAGAGGAAUAUGAGAUAGUUCAAGAGGAAUAUGAGAUGGUCAUCCACCACGACUUAAGAGAGAGGGAGAAUAGAAGAGAAUCGACAAUCAAGGACAAGGAAGAGGGUUGAUGGAAUAAACAAUAUUUGACUAAUAAAGGAGGAAACGUUCGGCUACCCAAAACCUAAAAUAAGUAAAGGCAAAGUACCAAUGAGGGAAAAAAAGGAAAUUGAUCCAGCAAAGAACAAUUUUGAAGAACAGAAACCCAAUUACCCGAAUGGACACUAAUGGUACUCGGCUACCAAAACACACAAUACACGAAAGGGAGAAAAAUAGGACAAAAAGAGGUAAAUAUUUUUGAAAUGGAGAGAAAAAAAUGCACAACCUAUUUCAACACAAGAAUAAAAGUUAUAUGACUGAAUUUGUACUAUCGAAAACCCACUUUCGGCCAACUACUACAACACCCCUAAUUCCACUCCCUAAAUCUCUUAACACCCCUAAUUUGAAACACUUUCAAACUCCUCUAAAUCCUUAUCCCAUGAAUCACUCCCCCAAGACCAAUUCCACAACCACCUGAGCAGAAUCCCACUACAACAUAGCCACUAGGCAUCACAACUGCAAAAUAAAACCUCCCUUACUCAUCCCAAGACUUCAACCUUAGACCUCAUGCUGGCUGUAAUACCACCUUGCCACUAGACCACCCACUCUUUUUGUGUAACCUUUUACCACAUUUCAUUCUUAAAGCCUAUUUACUUACUCCCAGGGUUUUAUUCACCUAAAACCAAAAUUUUUGUUACAGCCUAGGUUUGAACUCAAGACUUCUCUAAUACUUCUCAGGACCCUUAACCACUAAAGCAGACAUACUUUUGUAUUAUUCACUUGCACAGCUAAAAUAUCUAAGAGUAAUAUCCUAUCCACUUCCAAGCUCAAUGCCCAAUACUUCUAGGCCCAAAAUUUGAGGCGUUACAUUAAUCCACUCAAGCAGACUGCCAGAGAAAAAUUGGGACCAUAUUAUUUCUAGCACGAUUAAUUUUCAAAUGUCCUUAGCAAUUGGGCAAUCCCUAAUAUCUUAAUUAAGUUGAUAUUGGUAUCAGGAUUGUUGAAGCAAAAUAAAAUGAUAUUCGUAUACAAUAUUCUAAAUAGCAUGUAUUGGAAAAGAUUAUGAGCGUUACUCUAAUUUUAUGGGAAUGUAUUGGAUGCUUUUAUUCCAGUUAAGAGAAGCAUGGAGGGUAAGAGGUUUGGUUUUGUAAGGUUUGCUAAUCUAGAGAAUGUUCAAAGGGCAAUUUUAAGGCUAGAUGGUUUUGUGAUUUUAGGAAAAAGGGUUUGGGUGAAAAUGGCCAAAUUUAGUGGCAAAAGGAAGGCAUGGAAAAAAGUCUAAGCAAAGAAAGUUUUAAGCCAAAAAGAGGUGUUGUAGUCGAGAGGGAUAGGGUAUCAGGAAGAGAAAUGGGAUAAAUUAAAUGGUAAUACGUAGAAGGCCAACGUCUGUUGAAAUAGAAAUAACAGGGAUGAAUAAAUUAAAUGUUGUUGAGGGCCAUGUCGAGAAAGAACAACUAUAAAAACUUCAGCGUUGCUUGGUUGAGGAGACUACGUCUUUUUGUAAUACAUAUAGCUUGUUAGAAAGAAUAGUUAGUUUAGGCCUUAGAGAAUUAAAUGUUCAGAGAAUUCAGGGUAGAUACUUUCUAAUAGAAGUUCCUAACGAUGAGCUUAUGGAGAUUUUAAAGAAAAGAGACUUGCAUAUCUGAAAGAAUUUUUCAUCAAUAUAGAACCAUGGUUGGAAAAAAUUAAAGUUUUAGAAAGGCUAGCUUAAAUUGAAGUUGCUGGGAUUGCUCUUCAUUGAUGGAAUUACCAAACGUUUAGGAGAGUAGUUGAUUUAUGGGGUAAGAUAAUUGCUAUGGGUGAAAGGCUAACAAUGGUGAAUAGCUUUGAGAAGAUAUAUAUUUUGAUUUUUAUAAAGCAAGCUCACAAACUCGAAGAAAUGAUAAUGUUGGAGGUAGGCAAUGAGACAUUUCCAAUCUGUAUAAAAGAAAGAGGUAUGGUGGAAAAAAAUAAAUAGAAUUCAAAAAAGAAAUGGGAUCAAAUGAUGAGAGAAUAAGAUGCAUCAUCGGAAGUGGAGUUGGCAAAUAAAUCAGAACUGAAACUGUCACCGGAGAGAAGAUAAAACGAUGGGGUUGAAUGAGUUAUUGAGACAGGCCUCAAGAAUGAAAGAAAUAAUAAUAGGGUAUAAGAUAUGUCGGCUGAGGCAUUUGAUGUGAAAGAUAGCUCUUUUUAUAAUGUGAUGAGUGUUCCUAUAGCAAGGGAGGUAAUUGUUGACAUAUCUGAUCGAGGCCUGGAAGAUUUAAACAAUAUGGGCUUGGCAUUGGCAAUAGGUUUGGAUCAAAAUAAUGAGGUGAAAACUCAAAUAUCGAUUGGUAAUGAUUUGGGCUUAAAUGAGAAAGUUACGCAGUGUCCAGAUAAUGUAGAGAGCUUAAAGUUAAAUCAAAUUUCAUCACAUUUAUUAGAUUCAGAGAGACCAAGAGAUCGGGUUACAGCGUAUGAAGUAGAAGAGGAAAGUCAUCAAAUAAGACAGAAUAAAAGAAACAAGAAAGUGCUGAACAAGAAGAUUAGAUCUAUGUUAAAGAUUUAGGACAUAGUGCUCACAAUGAAGGAAAAGUAGAAAAAGGACAGGGAAGCAAGAAAAUCGAAAGGAAAGAAGGAGUCAAGGAUUGACGAAAGCAUAGAAAAUUUAUCCUUAUUUGACUCAAACAUCAGCAACUGAAGGAAAGUUAUCCUAAAAGAAGCGAAAAAGUGAUGAAGUUGGUUCAGCAUGCAGCAAACACUCAACAACAUGCAGGCCAUGAAGACCAAGCUGUGCAGGAACUGCUGCAACAACCUGUUUUUACUCAUUUUGUAAUUUUUAGUUAAUGAAAUGUAUGUUAGUUCAUUUCUAACUAAGUUAGUCCUAUGAUUGAUGUAAUUAGCUAGAGUGUGAGCUGUAAACACAUCUUUGUUCAAGCUUACAAGUUUAAAUUUCAAGUUUCCAUGUAAUUAGUGGAUGUAGGUAAUGUUUAGGUAAUUACUUGCUGAUUUUAACAAGCUUUGUGCUUGAUUUAUGUACUGGCAUUAUGCCAUUGUCUUCAAUAUGAAUGAAAUUAGUUUGUUCAUCAAAAUACUCUCCAAUUUCCUUAGCUUAUUUUUUUCUUUAGCUCGAAAUUGUUUGUUUGCUCAGCAAGUCUCGAGGCUUGCUCGACAAGAAACUUGCUGAGUCUGCUUGGUUCUAUUGUUGCACCAACACCAGCUCUAUCUUCUUUUGUAACUCCACAUACAUUAAACUUUAACCAUCCAUAAGGAGGGGGCCGCCAAAAAGAUGAGCAGAAUUAGAUAUAAUAGUAUCAAUCCUACACUUGUUUAGACAAAUCCACCAAAAAUUAUCCUUCAUUGUGAGCACUUGUUUAGACAAAUCCACCAAAAACUUAGAGGCAAUCCAACAGUGGCUCAGAUCAGGCAGCAUGUUGAUGAGAGGACCAAGAGGCACAAAGCCAUGUCUUGCAUCCAGAACUCAGUGUCAGAUGUGAUUUUCACAAGGAUUAUGGCCUGUGAAUCACCAAAACAGGCCUGGGACAAGUUGCAAGAAGAGUUUCAAGGGACAGAGAGGACAAGGCAGCAACAGUUGCUGAACUUGAGAAGAGAUUUUGAGAAUUUGAAGAUGAAGGAAGAAGAAACUGUCAAGCAAUAUUCUGACAGGAUUAUGGCUGUGGUUAACAGCAUCNNNNNNNNNNNNNNNNNNNNNNNNNNNNNNNNNNNNNNNNNNNNNNNNNNNNNNNNNNNNNNNNNNNNNNNNNNNNNNNNNNNNNNNNNNNNNNNNNNNNCAAAAAUCUCAUCUCUCGAGGACUCAAGGGAUCUGUCCACCAUUUCUCUGACUGAGUUGAUCAAUGCUCUAUAUGCUCAAGAGCGGAGGAGAGCAAGCAGACUGGAAGAGCAUCAAGAAGGUGCCUUUCAGGCAAGGACAAAUACUGCCUACAAAGGCAAGAAAGCCUGGAGAGACAAGCCAAAGAAUGAUGCUGCAAGGAGAGAAGGUCAGACUUGCAAGCACUGCAGAAGGGCUGGUCAUCCAGAAGAAAAAUGCUGGUUCAAUCCAGAUGCUGAAUGUCAGCAUUGUAAGAAGAAAGGUCAUGUUGAGAGAGUCUGCAAGAGCAAGGCCAAAUCAAGGCAGAAUCAGUUUCAACAAUUGAAAGCUGAGGCUCAAGUAGCUAAAGAGGACUGUGACCAAGAGGAGCAAGUCUUUGCUGUGUCAUGCUCAGCUGCUCAAGAAAAGCUCUCAUCUGGUUGGCUUCUAGACAGUGGAUGCACCAACCACAUGACACCUGAUGCUGCUAUCUUCAAGUCCUUAGACAGAAGCUGCUGAACCAAAGUUAAGAUAGGUAAUGGUCAUCUUAUCCAAGCUGAAGGCAAGGGUGAUGUGCUAAUAUGCACUCCCUCAGGUGCCAAAGUAAUCUCAAAUGUGCUCUUGGUGCCUGAAAUUGACAGAAACCUGCUCAGCAUAGCUCAGUUGCUAGAGAAAGGUUAUUCUGUUGUGUUCAAAGACCACCAGUGCCAAAUCAGUGAUCCAAGUGGAUCCAAACUGAUGGCAGUCCCUAUGGUUGAUAAGAGCUUUGUGGUUGACUGGAAAAAGAAGUCUGACAUUGCCUACAUAGCCACAUCAGAUGAAUCCAAGUUGUGGCAUCAAAGGCUGGGACAUGCCAACUUCAGAUCGAUGGCCCGAAUGGUCAGAGAUGACCUGGCUAAAAACUUCAUCAACUCAGUGGACCAUGAUGAUGUGUAUGAGGUGUGUCAACUAGGAAAGUAGGCCAGACUGCCAUUUCCCUCGAAUCAAGCCUGGAGAGCUUCUGAAAAACUCUAACUGGUGCACACUGAUGUGUGUGGCCCUAUGAAGAUUGAGUCAUUAAGUGGAAACAGGUAUUUCAUUCUGUUCAUUGAUGAUUUCUCGAGAUAUUGCUGGAUUUACUUCUUAAAACAGAAAUCAGAGGUGGCCUCAGUGUUUUGGAAGUUUAAAACUGCUUCUGAGACUGAAACAGGCUGCAAGCUGAAGACCAUAAGGUCUGAUAAUGGGACUGAGUACACCUCAGCUCAGUUCCAAGCCUUCUGUGAUAAGCCAGGCAUCAAACAUCAGCUUACCAACACUUAUACACCUCAACAGAAUGGUGUAAGUGAAAGGAAGAAUAGGAGCUUGAUGGAUAUGGCCAGGUGCUUGAUGAUUCAGAAGAAUCUGCCUAAAGCACUAUGGGCAGAAGCAGUUAACACUGCAACAUACAUUCAAAAUAGACUUCCAACCAAGGCUUUGGAUCAGAAGACUCCAUUCGAGGCCUGGUUUGGCUUCAAGCCAUCACUGGCUCAUCUGAAGGUCUUUGGAUGCAUCUGUUAUGCACAUGUACCUGCUGUUAAAAGGGNNNNNNNNNNNNNNNNNNNNNNNNNNNNNNNNNNNNNNNNNNNNNNNNNNNNNNNNNNNNNNNNNNNNNNNNNNNNNNNNNNNNNNNNNNNNNNNNNNNNUAAGAAGGGCUAUAGAAUUUUGGAUCCUUCAACAAACAAAGUGUCAGUAAGCAGGGAUGUGGUAUUCAAUGAAAGGUCAUGUUGGAACUGGGAAAGGCAUGAACCUGAGGAAGUUUCUGAUGAACUUGCAGCAGACCAAGCUGAGCUAGAACAAAAUGCUCCUAAAAUGGACAUUGAUGAUGAACCAGUCAGAGGAACAAGAUCAUUGACUGAGAUUUAUGAAAGGGCUCAUGUAGCCAUAGCUGAACCAAGCAACUUUGAAGAGGCUGAAGCUCAGCAAGGAAGGAAGCAGGCAAUGGCUGAGGAGAUCAGCAUGAUUGAGAAGAACCAGACAUGGAAAUUGGUUGAAAGGCCAGUCAAAAGGAAGGUGAUUGGGGUGAAAUGGGUGUACAAAGCCAAGCAAAAUGCUGAUGGAACCUUGAACAACUGAAGGCAAGGUUGGUUGUCAAGGGGUUCAGUCAGAGGUAUGGCCUGGACUACCUGGAGACCUUUGCACCAGUGGCCAGGCUCGACACCAUCAGACUGCUGAUUGCCUUAGCAGCACAGCUCGAAUGGAAAAUCCAUCAACUUGAUGUGAAAUCAGCCUUUCUAAAUGGUUUCUUAGAUGAAGACAUCUAUGUUGAACAACCACAAGGGUUUGAAAUAGCUGGCAGAGAGCAUAUGGUCUACAAAUUGAAGAAGGCCCUAUAUGGCUUAAAACAGGCUCCAAGGGCCUGGUACAGCAGAAUUGAUGGCUACUUGACUGAUCUAGGAUUCGAUCGAAGCAAGAGUGAGCCAACACUGCAUGUCAAGAAGCAAGGGACACAAACACAACUCAUUGUGUCCCUAUAUGUUGAUGACCUGCUGGUGACAGGAGGAGAUUGAGCAGUGCUGGUUGAUUUCAAGACCAAGAUGCAGGAAGUGUUUGAAAUGUCUGAUCUUGGGGAGAUGUCCUCUUUUCUUGGAAUGGAGGUGACUUAAGCACAAAAUGGGAUAUUUCUAAGUCAGAGGAGCUUUGCCACAAAGAUUCUGACCAAGUUCUCCAUGCAAAACAGCAAGGCAACUAAAACACCUGUUGCUGUUGGAGAAAAAUUAUCGAGCCAAGGUGAUUUUGAGAAGGUAUGUGAAACUACCUAUAGGAGUCUAGUUGGUUGUUUGCUAUACUUGACUGCCACUAGACCAGACAUAAUGCAUGCUGUAAGAUUGCUCUCAAGGUUCUUGCAUUUUUGCAAUGAGAAGCAUAUACAAGCUGCUAAGAGAGUGCUCAGAUAUGUCAAAGGGACUUUGGACUAUGGUCUAAGGUACAGCAAGGAAGGAAAUCUGAAGCUGGUUGGCUACACUGAUGUGACUGGGCUGGCUCGAUAGAUGACAUGAAAAGCACCUCAGGGUAUGCUUUCAACCUUGGUUCAGCCAUGUUCUGUUGGAGCUCGAAGAAGCAAAGCCUGGUGGCUCAAUCUACUGCGGAAGCAGAGUAUGUAGCAGCAGCAAGUACUGUCAACCAAGCCAUUUGGCUGAGGAAAAUUUUGGCUGAUUUGAAUGUGCAUCAAAUGGAAGCAACAGAGAUCUUCUGUGAUAACCAAUCUGCUGUUGCAAUUGCUAAAAAUCCAGUGUUCCAUGGAAGAACAAAGCAUUUCAGCAUAAAGUUGCAUGUUGUUCGAGAAAUGGAGCAAGCUCAGGAAGUGAAGCUGAUCCACUGUAAUUCAGAGGAUCAACUUGCAUACAUUUUGACUAAAGCUCUCAAUGUCACAAGGUUCGAAUGUCUAAGAAGGAAGCUAGGUGUUUGCACCAUGCAAACCAAGGAGGAGUGAUGAAGUUGGUUCAGCAUGCAGCAAACACUCAACAACAUGCAGGCCAUGAAGACCAAGCUGUGCAGGAACUGCUGCAACAACCUGUUUUUACUCAUUUUGUAAUUUUUAGUUAAUGAAAUGUAUGUUAGUUCAUUUCUAACUAAGUUAGUCCUAUGAUUGAUGUAAUUAGCUAGAGUGUGAGCUGUAAACACAUCUUUGUUCAAGCUUACAAGUUUAAAUUUCAAGUUUCCAUGUAAUUAGUGGAGGUAGGUAAUGUUUAGGUAAUUACUUGCUGAUUUUAACAAGCUUUGUGCUUGAUUUAUGUACUGGCAUUAUGCCAUUGUCUUGAAUAUGAAUGAAAUCAGUUUGUUCAUCAAAAUACUCUCCAAUUUCCUUAGCUUAUUUUCUUUUUUCUUUAGCUCGAAAUUGUUUGUUUGCUCAGCAAGACUCGAGGCUUGCUAGACAAGAAACUUGCUGAGUCUGCUUGGUUCUAUUGUUGCACCAACACCAGCUCUAUCUUCUUUUGUAACUCCACAUACAUUAAACUUUAACCAUCCAUAAGGAGGGGGCCGCCAAAAAGAUGAGCAGAAUUAGAUAUAAUAGUAUCAAUCCUACACUUGUUUAGACAAAUCCACCAAAAAUUAUCCUACAACAUAACUUCAUCAUAAAUAAAUCUAAUCCACAACAGAGCCCUCAUAUUUGAUUGAAAAAUUAAAAUUUCCAUAGACACCCUCCAACUUUCAAAAACCAACCCAUUUCUUGCUAGCCAAAUAGUCCAACAGGCCGCUGAAAUUAAUAUCAAUCAAAAACUUUUCCUAAUUCCGACCAUUUUCACUUUAUUGCAUAAUGCGAAGAAGUACUCAAAACCAUCAACCUGAUUCCAAACCACUUCCCACCAAUCAAAAAUUUUAAUCCAAAAACCUUCAAUAUAUUUGCAUUUGAAGAACAAGUGGGAUGUUUUCUCCAACUCGCUUUCGCACCAUGGACAGCUUACUGAUAUAUCAUGCAAAUUCACCCCUAUUUUGACCAAAAAUUCCUUAGAAGGAAUUCUAUCGAUAGCUAGCAUCCAAAGGAAACUACGCACUGUAGGUGGGACAUUAAGUUUCCAGAAUUUAUCACAAGAAAAAUUUAUAUCCACCCCUUCAUCCGAAAUCAAUAGUUCUGAACAUUUUUUAACCAAAAACUCCUCAUUUUUAUCAUUAGCCCAACACAACUUAUCCUCCAUAUCUGAAAUCAACACCAUGCCACUCACCCUCUCUACCAAUUCUCUGCGCAUCACCUCUUCUCUACCCAACAAUGAUCUUGUAAAGAAUUCAUUCCAGUCAUAUCUACACAACCCUGCAAAUCUAAAAAAAUCAGCUACCGAACUUUCCUUAUAUCUAGUAAGACGAAAAAGUCUUAGAAAGCCCUGUUUUAAUGGCAUAUUACCACACCAAAUGUCAAUCCCAAACAAUACCGUCCUACCAUUCCCAAUCCGCCAAUAGAAAGAUUCUACCCUUACCCAUUUAGGCAUUAUAACAUCUUUAACGUUUCAAUAAUGCCUCUCCACACAGAUGACAUAUCUUUUGGACUAGUCGUUUUAAAGUGCCACCUUUGCAAUUUCGACCCAUAUUUUGCCAAUAUAACAUUUCGCCACAAUGCUUCUUUUUCAAACGCAAAUCUCCAGCUCCAUUUAGCCAAUAAAGCUUUAUUUUUUACACCUAAAUUCACCACUCCCGUCCUACCCUUCACCUUUGGCUUACAUACUAUAUUCUAAUCAACCUUGGCCAUUUUAUUUUUCCCUUCCGUAUUCCUCUAAAGGAAAUUCCUCCUAAUCUUGUCAAUCUUUUUUAUAAUAGUCACUGGAGUAUUGAAUAAAGACAUGAAGAAUAUCGACAAAAAAGACAAAACAACAUUGAUAAGCACAACUUUUCUCAUCUAACUAGGUAACUUCUUUCUAACUCUGUCAACAAUCGGUUCCCAUGUGGAAAUUCUCUUCAGGUUCACUCCUAAUAGAAUUCUCAAAUAAUUUAUAGGCAAAAAACCAAUUUUACAUUUAAGCUACCAUCCGGAAUAAUGUUUCUUCUUUCACAUUAAAACCCACUAAGCAAGAUUUUUUAAAAUUAAUAUUAGGGCCCGAAAAGAUCUCAAAACACCUUAAAAUGUACUUCGCAUUGCUCACCUCAUUAUCAAUAGCUCUCAAGAAUAAAAUUGUAUCAUUCGCAAAUUGUAGAUGAGAAAAAAUCAUAUUAGGAAUGACAUUCUGAAAGCCGUCAAUUGUUCCUAACUCUACAACUUUAUCUAAUGCUAAAUGAAGAACUCUGUCACUAAAAUAAAUAAGAAUAGGGAUAAUGGAUCUCCUUGACGAAGACCUCUGUGCAAUCUGAAUUCAUUUGUCGUUGAUCCAUUAAUAAUAAUUACUGCUCGUGCCGUAGAUAUGCAUUCCAUCAUCUAGCCUCUCCAUUUUACACCAAACCCCAUCUUGAAUAACACCAACUCAAGAAAAUCCCACUGGACACAGUCAUAAAGUUUAGAAAAAUCAAGUUUAAAAAUUAAAUAACCCCUACUUCCCUCUUUCUUGAUCGAAUGAAUUAAUCCAUUUGCUAUCAAAACCCCAUAAAGCACAUUGCGUGUCGCUCACCACCAUUUUGACUAUCUCCCUUAACCUUCGAGACAAUACCUUUGCCACAAUCUUGUACAAAAAAACUCACCAAACAAAUUGGCCUAAAAUCUGAAAUUUAAUUUGGAUUUUCCACCUUUGGAAUAAGUGUGAUAAAUGACGAGUUAAUUUUUUCUGAAGCUUCUUUUAUAUGAAAAAAUCAGACAUCAAUCCAAACAAAUCCAUCUUCACUGUUUCCCAACAAUUUCUAAAAAAACACAAGUUGAAGCCAUCUGGACUAAGCGCUUUUGAUUCAUCACGACUCUAAACCGCCUCUUUGAUCUCUUCCAACGAGAACGGUUCCUCCAAUUUCAAAGUCUUUUCCUUGUUUAACAUUCUGAAAUUCAGAUUUAAGUCCAUAUUCCAUCUUCUUGCAGGGCAAUCAAAAUAAUUAUUGAAAAAAUUGUACAACCCUUCUUUCAUCUCCUUAGGUUCCUUGUAGUACCGACCCUUAAUUUUUAAGCUAUACACUUAGCUCUGAUUUUUACAGCUCUAUGGAAAAAAGCACUGUUAGCAUCCCCUUCUUUUAACCAUGAAAUUCUUAAUUUUUGAUGCCAAAUAGAUUCUUUAAAUUUUAUUGCUUCCCAAACCUCAAUGUUUAACUUUUUUAACUCCUCCAUUUCUAGCUCAGUCAACUUUCUUUAUUCACUUACUUCAUCUAUCUCCUUAAUCCUAUAUUCGCUUUCAAUAAUUCUUUUCUUCCAAAAUAUUUCCAGCUUCAACAUUCUAUUUCUUAAGAGCUCCCUUCAAUGUACGCAAUUUAACAGUCGUUUGCCCUCUUAAACUACCCAUUCCCAACCAUUCCAUUUCAAUUAAUCUCCUACAGUCUUCCUUUUUGAGCCAUGCAUUAACAACUUGAAAGGUCUUGGCCCAUAGUCAAAAGAUUCAUUUACUAACAAGACUAGAAUAUAAUCCGGUAUUGACCUGUGAAGUCAUUACUGUUGUAAAUCCUUCGAAAAAACCAGCCAAUCUUCCUUAAUUAAAAAUUUGUCGAGUCUACUAUGCUUACUAUCUGGACUAGUCCAAGUGAACUUUUUCCCCAAUAACUGCAGAUCAACCAACUUACAUAUAUCAAUAAACUCUCAAAACUCUUUUGAUCCCCUCUCAAUGCUCGAAUAAUUUAUUUGUUCACUUCUAUUUCUCACCACGUUGAAAUUCCCACCAAUUAUCCAAGCUUUACUAAAUAUAUUUCUCAAUUCGAAUAUCUCAUCCCAUAUGAUUUUUUGACCUAAAAGAUUGUUGGGAGCAUAUACGUUAAUUAGAACUACCUUCUUCCCUUCAUGCACCCAUUUACCUUCAACUACAAUGAACCUCUUCCCACAAAACACUACAUCGAUCAAAAACCAACCCUUAUCCCAUAUUGUUAAUAAUCUCCUGAUAUUUUAAUAGCAGCAGAUAAUUUAAAAUAAAAAUAGUUAUUACCUCCAAUCUUUCUAACUAAAUCUAUUGACAUACAUUAGCUAUAGUCAUUCUCACUAAUCUAUUGACUGCAUCAAUUUUAGCACCCUAACCCAGCUCUCUAAUGUUCCAUGUGACAAUCCACAUAUUUUUAACCGAAUUGAAUAGUUGAAAGGAAAACUGAAAGAAAAACUACUCACUAAAAUCUCGAAACCCUCAACCCUCUACCUUUGAAUGCUCCCUAUUACUUCUCUUCAACCCUCAUUAUUUCUUUGAUAACAAUCUCCUCGUCACCUUGCACACUAAAACCUAGCUUCUUCCCUACCUUCCAUGUCUUUUUGUUGGUGCAACAAUAGAACCAAGCAGACUCAGCAAGUUUCUUGUCGAGCAAGCCUCGAGACUUGCUGAGCAAACAAACAAUUUCGAGCUAAAGAAAAAAAUAAGCUAAGGAAAUUGGAGAGUAUUUUAAUGAACAAAACUGAUUUCAUUCAUAUUCAAGACAAUGGCAUAAUGCCAGUACAUAAAUCAAGCACAAAGCUUAUUAAAAUCAGCAAGUAAUUACCUAAACAUUACCUACCUCCACUAAUUACAUGGAAACUUGAAAUUUAAACUUGUAAGCUUGAACAAAGAUGUGUUUACAGCUCACACUCUAGCUAAUUACAUCAAUCAUAGGACUAACUUAGUUAGAAAUGAACUAACAUACAUUUCAUUAACUAAAAAUUACAAAAUGAGUAAAAACAGCUUGUUGCAGCAGUUCCUGCACAACUUGGUCUUCAUGGCCUGCAUGUUGUUGAGUGUUUGCUGCAUGUUGAACCAACUUCAUCACUCCUCCUUGGUUUGCAUGGUGCAAACACCUAGCUUCCUUCUUAGACAUUCGAACCUUGUGACAUUGAGAGCUUUAGUCAAAAUGUCUGCAAGUUGAUCCUGUUAAGGAGGCUCUGGAAGUAUUUUUAGCUAUGAAUUGGAAGAUUAAUGAUUCCUUAUUUAUUGAACUUGGUUUUUUGGUGGUGUUUUCUUGGUGUGUUAACAAGGUAAUGAAACUAUGUCUCUUUAAGCAAUUUUUGCUAGUAUUCAUAGAGACAUGUUAAAGGCUAGAAAUGUAUUUUCGGUGGCCGAUGAGAAAGGUAACGAAUUGGCAUCUUCCUUGGUAAUUACAAGUUUUUAAGAGGGAGAAUAUGUUUAAAGCUUGGUGGUGAGUUUUUUAUAUUGUUGUAAUCAUUGGUUUAGUUGCGACGGAAUACGUUUUUAAUCUUGUAUGUUGUAAUUCUGAACUUUGUUGUUGUUCUGUUUGUCUUUGACAAUAGUAUAGCUUGAAUGAAGCAAAAAAAAAAAAGGUAAUCCCUAAGGACAUGUAAAAUGUCUUAUGUCUCAUAAUAUCAUAUUGGGCAUGCUUCAGUUUGGUUGAUUCCUCCUUUAACUCGUUCAAGGUUAGUAAGCAUGUUUUGUUUGUAAACCAACCAUAAGAAAAAUUGAAUAUGUUGUGGUCCUUGGAAUUUCCAAACGUUCUUUCAUUUACUAUCUUACUCAUUCCAUGUGUUUCCUUUUAACAUUUGGUACGCACUUUUUACUAAGAAUUUCCCAUUAGAUGUGUGAGUCCAAAAAAUUUUGUCAGGACCGGCUAAGGGAUGUGGGGCAGGGAUGUUUGUAAUCUUCUGAAUUAUAUCUUCUGUCAGCCAGUUCCUAAAUGAAUAAAUGUCCCAAGAGCCCUCUUCUGUAACCAUGUCUUUAACUAAACAUUCUGAGACUAAUCCUUCCGUUGGUGAUGCAUGUGCUUUGAGCGGACUUAUUUUUGGGAUCUAUGGAUCUUCCCAACAUCUGACACUGUCUCCUAUUCCAAUGGACCAACAUAGGUUCUCUUUUAGCAAUGGAUAGACUUUCGCAAUUCCUCUCUAAACAGCUAAGCAGUUUUCGCGCAUGAUAUUUUUUGGGACCACCUCUGUCAUUCGAUAUUUUGAUCUUAAGACUUGUACCCACAAAAUGUCCUUUUUAGAAACAAAUUUGAAUCUUAAUUUCAAAAGAAAAGAGGUAUUUUAAUCUUUUACUAGGGCCAUUUUCUUAUUUCCUGCAUUGGAUCCCCAAAUAAAUUUUCUAGCCAAUUGUUCAAUUUCUUCGCACACUUUUUUUAGAAUUUGCAUGGAUUGCAUGAAGUAAUUUGGAAUGGAGAGGAGGAUAGAUUGAGCCAAGGUGAGCCUUCCUGCAAUUAAGAGUUGCUUGACAUCCCAACUACAUAGUUUAGCUCUAACUUUUUCAAUAACAAACUCCAAUGUAGCUUUAGCAAUUUGACUAUGUAAAAGUGGAAUUCCUAAGUAGGACCCCAGCCCUUGGACUUUCUAGAAACCGAGAAGUCGGCUUAUUCUAUUGCUCAUAGUAUCCUUUACUCCUCUUGAAAAGAAAAUAUUAGUUUUGCGUGUGUUAACCUGGUCUUGAUCUGGAUUGUCGUAUUGGGCUCCAUGCCCUUGUACUAACAGCUAUUUGGAAACUAUGACCUAGCCACUCCAUACAAAGCACAAAGAGGUAGGGUGAUAAGGGACAUCCGUACCUAAUUCCUCUUGCUAGUUGGAAUUUUUUAGUGGAGACCCCAUUCCACAAAAUCUACAUGGUAGAUGUCGAAAUGGCUGACAUAAUGCCUGCAACAUGAAGAGACCUAUCAAUAAAGUCCUAUUGGACCUUGUUGUAUGCUUUCUCCAGAUCAAUUUUGAUUGUCAUCCAUUUUUUGCUCUUUCCUCGUAUAGAGUGCAUAACUUCCUGAGCAAUGAUGAUGUUAUUAGAAAUUAUUGUCCUGUAAUGAACCCCGCCUAUUCCUGUAAGGUGAUUUUCGAAAAAGCUAUUUUGAGUUUGUUAGCAAUAACUUUCAUAAUUAGUUUAUAGAGAACUGAUCAAAGACUGAUGGAUCUAAAUUAGGAUAUCUCUUCAAGUUGAGCCAUUUUUGGGAUGAGCACAAUAAAUGUAUCAUUUAAAUCAGGCUCUAUGGGCUUUCCUCUGAAUACACCUUUAACCCAUUCACAAAAUGUACUUCCAAUACUGUAUUAUUUAAAUAGAUUAAAAUCAUAAUCAAACCAAGAAUAAAUUAUCAAUUCAAUAUUGGAAAAUAAAUAUGAUAUGAUAUGAUAUAAUAUAAUAUAAUAUAUAUUCAUUUAAUUUUAAGAAUAUAAAUCUUUCGUUUUAUCAUUUCUAUGUUGUUGAAAGAAGAACUAUAUAUUAUUAUAAAUAUCAAGAGAGAGAUGAGAAAUAUUAGAUCUUUCAACAAUUUGACAAUUUUUUGGUAAGUCUCGUGGAAGCCUUUAUAUUAGGAGUCGGAUUGUAUUUUGUUCUUUCUAUUAAAAAAAUGAGUAGAUUAGUUUUUAUAGUUAAACCAAAGAGUAAAUUGAUUCUUCUAUUAAAAAUCAUCCAUUUCUACCAUUAAAAGCUAGUUCUCGUACAUUAACAUGAGGUAAACAUUGCACACGGGCAAAACCAAAAAAAUUUUUUAGAAGGGGCCAAAAUUAAAUUGUAAUUUUUAUAAUAAUAAAAAUGCAAUUUUACCAUUUUAAUAGCCUAUAUCUUUAUAACUUUUAAAGGAUUGAAUCAAUUUUUUUAUCAUUUUUAAGGGGGUUAAAGUGUAAUUUUACCUUUGCUAAAUAGAAAAUUUUCCAUUUUAGGGGUUUAGGGCCCUACCGACCCCCUAGCUACACCCCUGACAUUGUCACUAUCUAAUUAUCUUGUCAAUGACGCUAAUUUUGAACAAUACAAAUGUAUAAUUUUUUUAGCACAAAGGAUUGGCGUGCUUAUUGAUUUAACAUACAAUGACUAAUUUGUUUGUUAUUUUAGAAAUAAAAAUAUAAUUUAACUCUUAAAAAAAAAAGACCUCCAUAAUACUUUUACCCAUUUUCUUAUUGCAUACGUAUAUGGAUGCUUGACUUACUAUAAUAUGGGAAGAUACUUGGAACAAGGUGCAAUUUGGGGAUUUCAAAGGGAAAAAAAGGUGACAAAAUUGAAAAUUUCAACCAUAAAUAAAGCAAUUAAUAGAUGUGGAAUGUCUCUAUUUUAAAAGUUGAAAGUUUUGGUUAAGAAGUUUGAGGAUCAAAUUCAUAGAGUUUGUAAAUGUGAAGGGUUAAAAUUAUUAAAUUAUUUAUAAUUAGGAUCCAAUUGAUAGAACACUUAAGUACUGAGGACUAAAUGUGUUAUUAUACCAAUUACAAAAAGAAUUAUCGUUAUCAAUUUAAUGAUGGAUGACCAGAAUAGGAGCAAAUCCAAAUAUUAAUGCCUAAAUUGAAUUUUUUUAAAGUUCAGUGACCAAAAUAGGAAUGCGGGCAUAGUUGAGUGAUCAUUUGUAUAAUUUACCCUAAAUUAAAUUAUGAUGUUUUCAAAUUUUAUGCAAUAAAUAUAUUAUCACAUGUAUAAUACAGCGUCAGCUUGCUAUUCCCACAUAAUACUUGUAAAAAAAAAAGUCAUGUCAUUUUAAUUAAUGAUUUAAUAGUUACUAUUUAAGUGUUAGGACUAAAAUUUUAAAUUCGAAAAAAUAUAAAAGAUAAAAUUGAUCAAAUUUUUACAACUUGCACAUGAUAUAAAAUUAAUAGCAAAAUUUGACCUAACAAAUUUAAUUAUUGUCAUUUAAAUAUUGAGAUUUCAAAAUUUUAAAAUAUAAAAAUUAAAAGAAAUUAGAAUAUAAAUUCUAAAUUCAAAGCUUAAUCAUAGUAGGAGAAUUUGACAUACUAUUAUUUUUUAAUCAUUUUCUCUCUCAACUUCUAAGAAGAUAACUCUUUGAUUUGAUCAUUUCCAUGCUGUUAUAAUUGAAAAUGCUAUAAAUUAAACAUUAAAAUUGUAUACAUAUGGAAUAUUAAAUCUUUGAAUAAUUCUUGCAUACGUGCUCUGAAUGUUGACUCAUCAUAACACUUGGAACAAGGUUGAAAUAAAAUUGCAUUUCUAAUAAACUCGGAUUUUUUUUUUUAUGGAUCUUGCAAGAAAGAGUAACAGCAGUAGACCACUAUAACAGUCUAUUCUAGACCAUAAACAUAGUAUUUCUAUUUAUGUUUAUCUUAAUCAAAGAAUUUGUCAAACUAUUAACUUCUCACAUUAGAGUAAUAUGAGGAUAACUCUCUCACCUUCUAAGAGGAUAACUCUUUGAAAAUGCUAUAAAUUAAACAUUAAAAUUGUAUACAUAUGGAAUAUUAAAUCUUUGAAUAAUUCUUGCAUACGUGCUCUGAAUGUUGAAGUAAAAUUAAAAAAUAGUUACGUGUUUUUUAUAAGUAACUAUAUAAAAUUAAAAAAUUAUGAUGUGUUUCUUUUAUAAAUAAUUAUAUGAAAUUAAAAAAAAUCCACAAUCAACAUGUAUUGUAGAUAAGCCAUAUAUAUAUAAUUGUCUACCUUUUAAGUUUCAUAUUACGUUGCCAAUAAGUUUAAUAGUGGCCCCUCUUGGCUUCAACCAUCCUUUGUAUUUGUGCCCAUCUAACACCCUUCUUGUCUUACACCAGUUACUGGAAUUGGAAAAUUACAGUUAGAGCAAAUCAAUAAAAAAUUGCAUUUCUAAUAAACUAGGAUUCUUUUAUGGAUCUUGCAAGAAAGAGUAAUUUCUAUUUAUGUUUAUUUUAAUCAAAGAAUUUGUCAAACUAUUAACUUCUCGCAAGAUAUGAGUAAUUUUAACAUAUAAUCAUCAAUGACUUUAAAAGUUUUUUCUACAUCUCUAGAGUAGAGGGAGUGACUUAGAACACCAUGAACUAAAUGACUCAACAAUUAAUUUAUGAAAAUAAGGGUAGCAAAAUUUAAUUCUAUUCAAAAAUUUGGAAAAAAAAAAUUGAAUUUCGAGAUAGUCAAAUCAAGCUAUUCAAGGUAUUUGGUGUAUAUAGCCUGUCAAUUUUUUUUGGAUAAAUUACAAGAAGAGGGGAAAACCCUAACAACAACACAACUUGAACCUAAGCCACACCUGAGAUGAUGAAUACCCUGACCAUCAAGCCAACACACGAGGUUCUAUAGCCUUAUCAAUUUUGAAAAUGAGCAAAUUGAUCUCUCUCUCAACAAAAACUACAAAAAAAAAUUCAAACUAAUUUUUAAAUUUUAAAAUAUUUAUAAAAAAUUUCAAAAUUUAUAUUUUAAAAAAUUAUAAAAAUUAAGAAUUCUAUAGAAUAUAUAAAAAAAGUUAAAAUAAUUUAAAAUAAUAAUUUUGAAACCUAAAUAAAUUAAUUAACAAUUCAAGUUUAUGUACUAAAGUAAUUUUUUUCUUAUUUUGUUUUGCAAGAGUUUUUAAAUAUAUAUAUAUAACUUCAAAUUUAUGUCCUCCAACAUGAAGUUAGUUAUACUAUAACAAGAUUUUAAUUUAACAUAUUUAACUCAAACAAUUUUACUUGAUUCUAUUCAAUUCGACUUGAAUUUCAUUUCACUCGACUCUAAAAAAUUUUAAAUCGAGUUAAGAUGAUAAAAUAGGACUCGUUAUCGUAAUUAACUCAAAAUUUUUUCAUUUAAUUCGAUUAAACAUUUACCCUUAAAUUAAAAAUUGAAUAACUUAGUCUUGAUAAAGAUCUCUAAUACAAAAUUAAUAGCAUUAAUUUUAGAUAAAUUAGCAUCACAACAACCAAGAGGUUUGGAGUUGAUGCAUUUUGAUGAAAGAGUCAUACGAUUUGACAUUUUAUACAUAGUGAAGGUGGAAUUAAGGUAGUUUGUGGGUGUAUCAUUUUCGUGUUAAUGGUGGUAUAUAUAGGCAUCGGUAUGUUUCAAUAUAUAAUUUUAGGUUUACCGAUGUUUUUAAAUAUUUUUUAUAUAUAUUUUUAGUUUAAUUUUUAGUUUGUUGAUAAAUUAUAUACAUUUAAAUAUUUUUUACAUAUAUCUAUAGUUUAAUUUUUAUUUUGUUUAUAAAUUAUUUGUUAUUUUAGUUAAAAAUAAAUUAUAGAUUACAUUAACAUACAAAUAUAUCUCAAUUAUAUUCAUAUUCAUAUAUUUAUAUUUAAAUUUAAAUUUUAAAAUUAUUAAUUAGGUUGAAUAUUUCCAUUUAACUUUUCAUUUUAAAUAUAAUUUUGAAAAAUUAAAAUGGCUAAUAAAAAAUUUUAAAAUUUGGUUUAAAAUGUCAAUAUUUUGUAUCAACUGAUUUGGGCCGAUACGUACUGAUUACAGACCAAAACAGAUUGAAAUACACUGAAAUAGCUGAAGCACACCAAAAUUUUAACAAUAACGAAACAUAACGUAAUUAUUACUGAUUUAGGACUGAAACGAUAUAUACCGAUUACCAUGUUGCAACUUGAUAUUCUUAUCUCAUAUAUAUUAUUGAAUUAUCAAGAAUUCCUCUAACUCUCAACCAUCUACCUUUAGUAAUGUUUUUUUUAUUUGUAAAAUAAAGAUGUUUAUUAGAUAAAACAUGGGAAUGAUAGAUAUUUUGAUCUACACACCACAUAAAGAUAGCAUACAUGAUUUAUAUAUUCUCACAUUAAUGCCAACAUUUAUUAAUAGUACUUAAUUAUAGGAAAACAUAAACGCAUGCAUCCAUGAAGGAAACAUGAUUCUAUUUUACUCACACACGCAAUGCAAUAAAAUUUUGUGUGUUCAUAGAUUACAUUGGCUCCGGCUUCUUUCUCCGCUCCAGCUUUGUUUCUUUGUUAGAGUAUAAGAAUAAGUCUGGUAUAUUGUUGGCAUAUAGUUAGCAACAGUUAGGUGAUCUCAUUCAAGUAUAUAAGUCCUAUAUGUGUAUUGAUGAAUUUUUUUCAAUACAAAAUGUUCAAUCAUUUUUUUAGUCAAUAUUCUCUGUAGUUACUAACAUGGUAUCAGUCGCCUGAAGUUCAUGGAGGUUCUUCUCGUUGUCGUUUCAUGGAUAAUUUGAGUGAUUCUAUCGCUGUUAAUCAUGGCAGUCUCUCCUUCUCCGGAUCUCGUCUGUUUCAAACAUUUCCUCGUCAUGAUACAGUAAAGUUAGACGAAGGAAAUUUCUUACAAUGGCAACAACAUAUUAGGUUAAUAGUUGAAGGCUAUGAAUUGUUAGGGUUUCUCGAAGGGACAUUACAUGUUCCGCCCCGCUUCAUCACUUCUCCAGAUGGAGUUCUGGCUUCGAAUCCAGAUUCGUCUUUGUUUGUACAGCAAGAUAAACUUCUUGCAUCUUGGUUAUUAUCAACAAUUAGUUCUGUCUUGUUGCAUUCUUUUACAGCUGCUUAAUCGGAAAAUGAGGUGUGGAGCACUGUGAAUCGACUAUUCGCCGCUGCCACUGGAGCAAAGGUGUCGCGCAUUAAGCACGAACUUAAUUACAUCAAGAAGGGUGUGAUAUCGGUGAAGGAAUAUGUGGCUAAAAUAUAAACUACCUACGCGUUGCUUGAGGCAUUGGGAUCUGUGGUACCGGAGGUAGAGAAAGUAGAAAUCAUAUUGGUCGGCCUCUCGUCGGACUAUGAUGUUGUCCUCACGUUGGCAUCAUUCUCGACUGAAUCACUUCCUCUCUAGAAGCUUCUUAAUGUACUCUUGGAGUUUGAGAAUCGGCAGGCUCGUGCGGUGACUGAAACGCCAUUUCAUGCCCAUCUAGUGAAGGCUGAUCCGGGGAAAUCGAGGACGGAUGGUGUGCGUGAUGGGCGGUCGUCUUCUAUGGCUUGUGGUCGUGGGUUUAGGACUCAUCUUCAGUGCCAAAUCUGUGGUAAAUAAGGCCAUUUGGCACAAAAAUGUUACUACAGGUUCGAUCGUGACUAUGGCGGCCCAUCUGCUCCGGCUUCGAAUCUACCUCCGGUGUUCUCUGGUCGUGCGGAUCGUGGAUAUCGCGAGAAUGGUUAUGGUGAGCAUGGCUGGUCUCCGUCGGGUCGUGGUGGUUCGGUUCCCUUUGGUGACUUUGGACCUUAUAUUGGUGCAUCGAUAGCGGCUCCGAUCGUGUAUCUGUGCGGUGCCUCGUGGGGGGAUUGCUGAAUGGUUUCUCCAUGUCUACUCCAUCUACUAGUGUUGCAAAACCUUUUCCCGCUUAUCCUAGUAAUGACGCAGGCCACAUAGUUGGGCCACAUGGUGUUGGACCAAGACCUCACUAUGGUAACAACGUUUAUCCCCUUUUGCCGCGCAGAUUGGGCUUUCCAUAUGGGCUCAAAGGCGAUGCUACAGGCCGUGGACUUGGGCCAUAUACUAGGCAGGCUGCGUUAUCAUUUGAAUGUCAUAAAGUAUGCAUUAUUGGUGAAACUGCAUUAGUGCCUCGAGACAUCAAGAACAAAAAUGACUAUUUCAUGCCUUUCUAGAUAAUUGUCUCAAGAUAUAUUGAACAUGUCUCAAGAUAUAAAUUGUCUGGUUUUAAAGCGUGAGGCCCAUUGUCUCAAGACAGGAAACAUCAAAGCUAAAGGUCCAAAAUAAGGGAGCUAACCUUAAGACAUGUCUCGAGACACAAGAGUCAUUGUCUCGAGACAACUAAUUUUGAAAGUAGAGGUUGAAAAUAGGAGAAACAUGUCUUGAGACAUGGCUUCAUUGUCUUGAAACACACUAUUGAAUUUUGAUAAAUCAAGUUUAGAUUCGCAUCCUGACUCUACACUUAACCCCUUACUACGUCAAGUCGUGUGGGCCCAAUCGAUCAUGAUUAAAUGAGAAACAUUAGCAUAGUAAGAAAAUAUGAAAUUAUGUCAUGUUUUCCACUUAAAGUCAGUGAAAAGAAUUGAGAUGGUUCACAUUCGUAAUGUGACACUUGUACUCAAAUUCAGUGAUCAAAUUCAAUGUGAAGUGUUACAUCUAUAGUUAAUAUGUCCAAGUCUGUGAUGCCACAAGUCUGAGUCACUAAUGAAAGAUUUGUUGCAUGUAGUUUGGCUAAUCAUUCUACGCUAGUUGUGAAUUGACCUUUCCCCUUUCAUUAAGGACCCCUUUUUUUAAUAUAUAACCUCGUAACCAUAUUUGAUGAAGUUGACAUGAUAUCCUUGAUCACAUAAUUUAUUAAUGGUAAUUAAAAUAGCCUUAAGUCUCUCCAUCAAGUGAACAAUUUUAACCUAGGGAUUCCUAAAUAUUGAGAAUGUCCAUCCCAAUUAUUUUGCUUUUCCCGCCAUCACCCAAUGUGACUUUUUUACAUUGUAACUUUGUAAGUACUUCAAAUAAUGUUUAUUACCUAUCAUGUGACGAGAACAAUCAUUUUCAAAGUAUCAAAUCUUCUUAGUGAUGGCAUUUAAGGAUGUAUGGACUAUUGAUGGGUGUUGAGUACAUAAAAAAUAAAUUAAAUUUGCAGUAUAAAAAAUAAGGUAGAUCUCAUAGAGAUUGAACUAAUCGAUUUUAUUAAAGCUGAUUGAUCAAAUCGUCUAAACUGAUGAUGAAACUGAUAAGACCGUAAAAAUUAACUUAAACUAAAACUGAAAAACAGAAUUAAUGUAUAGAGUACUUACUCUACAUAAACAACGGUGAUGAUGAAUUAUUAAGUACUAAGUUUAACUCGUAUAAUGAAGAAGAGGAGGAAUGCUUUGUUCAUGCUUAAAGAAAUUCUUUGGAUCAGUCUUCGUCUUGACAUAAACAAGCCUAUCAAAAUUAUUCUUGAAAUAUUUACGUCCCCAGUUGCUUGCUUGCUUAUAACUUGUCUUGCCAUAGUAAUUAUUGCUUCCGAUAUCGAGAUCUCUGUAAUUAACAUACGCUUCUCGUGGAGAUUUCGAAACAAAAGGACCCAUGUAGCUAUAAAGUUUCCUCAUCCAGCUUAUAUACCUUUGAGAAUUAUUGUUUUCCUCUUCUUGCCAAGCGAUAACGUAGCUUAUCUUGUAUAAGGUGCCUUUUCGAUGUGGAUAUGGAGUUUCUGUCUCUGAGAUUUCCUCCAUUAUUCCACCGUGAGCAAAAAAGUUUAGAACUGCUGUGCCUCCUUCGUCGACCUCUAGAAGGUGGAGCCAUAGCCCUUGUAAUGCUAUUUCAGGCAUUGGUUCCCUCACGUAAUCAGAUUUUGAUUUGGCAAAAGGAGGAAGGAUGGUAUACCUGUUGCUCCUAUCGAGCAAAAUCUCCGAUGUUUCAUUUGAAAGUCCGUUCAUUAACAAUAGAGAUUCAAUCCAAGUCAUCUCAAUAAAAUCUUCCUUAACGAGUCCAAGCUCCGGGAAUCGUUCCUGCAUCAAUGGAAAAAACUCAUCGGCACCACCUUGGAACAAUGAAAUAAAGGUGGCAAGAACCGUCUUAGUCCCAUUUUCACUGGCGUUCGUCGUUGAUAUCGUAACGACUGGGUAUACAUCAUUCGGAAGAUUGGGUGCAACGUAUUGCCAACGAUGAAGAAGCUGUGUUGCAUUUUGUUCCAAGGUCCUGCCCACUGAGAAAAAAGUCACAUUUGAAGGAACAUGAACCAGCUUUAUUUUCCAUGAAAUAACGAUCCCAAAGCUUCCCCCUCCGCCACCUCGAAUGGCCCAAAACAGAUCUUCACCCAUCGAUCUUCUAUCAAGAACUCUUCCAUUAGCAUCGACCAACUGCGCAUCGAUCACGUUAUCCGCCGAGAGACCAUAUUUUCGGAACAAUGAACCAUCGCCUCCACCGCUAAUGGACCCACCAAUUCCUACAGUGCGGAAAACAGCUGCUGGGAAGGAAAGGUUCGUGCUUCGUUCAUUGAUUCUGUAGUAUACUUCACCCACGCUUGCACCUGAUUGAACCCACGCCUCUUCGUUUUCGACAUCAACAUCGACUGAUCGCAAAUUAACCAAAUCGAUAACAACAAAUGGGACAGGGGAGACAAAGG
Molecule: long non-coding RNA, 26682 nt
Filed under: Gossypium raimondii (Peruvian cotton)
Lineage: Eukaryota; Viridiplantae; Streptophyta; Magnoliopsida; Malvales; Malvaceae
Description: long non-coding RNA (GRAI_LNC003377)
Source: RNAcentral